UUCAUAAUAAAGUACAUUAAAAAUUUAAAAAAUACACAUUUCUUGUGUUUUUUUAUAAAAGAAAAUCGAAUGUGAAGUUUUUAAUUCCAGUACAGUAGGUAGAUUCAUGAUCCAAAGAAUAUAGAACAAUGCAAUCUAUAAAGAUACAAAAUUGACUACAAAGAUCAAUCGUGAUUACAUUGUUUGUCUAAACAAUUUCUACAAUUAACCGUUAAAAGGUGGUAAUUUUAUCUUAAAAUCGAAACUUAUUUGCAUGGUUUAGGUAAAGGCAUCUCCUCGUUAUUGUAUCACAUAUAGGAGGAUUUAGAGAACAUGCUUCAUUUAGUUCCUUACUGGAUUUAUUUUAUUGAUUUAAUUUACUAAUUGGUCUCUGUAUAUUGUUAAAGGUUUAACAAUAGCUGAGAAAUCUGAAUAUGUAUGAAAUAGCUGAAAAGUAAAAUGUUUAAAAUAUGGCGGAGAAAUAUUUACAUACUUGACUUAGUAACCGCGCUACUUGGUAGGGAUUGAAAUAGUGUUUUUCAAUUCUGUGAGAAAACUUGAUAAAAGAAUUGACAAUGACUACAGGUGGGGUCAAGGACACUGUGGAUAAAAUAAUAAGGACGCACAAGGUUGCUAUUUUUUCUCGACAGGGAUGUCCAUACUGUCUUGGUGCACGGAAUACCAUAAGGAAAUUUACAGGGAAGAGGCUAUCUCAAUCAGAUGUCGCUUUUUAUAAUGUAGAUAAAGAAAACGACUCAAGAGAAAUGCAAAAUUACCUUAAACUGAUUACUGGGGCAUCGUCGGUACCGAUUGUUUUCAUUUACGGAAAGUUCAUUGGUGGUCAUGACAAAUUGAAGUUAAUGUACAGGACUGGUGACCUAGACGAUCUCCUGAAAGCUGGUCCAACAAUUAAACGAUAAAUCUGGAGACUCCAAUGCUGCAAUCGAAAUUAUUAACGAGAGACAAAUAAUAGGGCGCGACUUUCCGAGUGAUUGGAAGUGACUAUGUGCUUUAUUGUGCCGUGUUGAAUUGUCUUAUUCAAAUUGGUCAUAGAGUUUUGGGAAGAUAAAGGGUGUACAUACAAAUAUAUGACGCCAUGUUUGUUAUAUUGUUAGACCAUUGUUCAGUAUAGGCAGGUCUUGAGUAAGAAGCCCUGACGCACCUUAUAAAAUUCUCGGCUUUUUGUUGAAAACAAUUUGUUUAAAUUUCUGUAAUGAAUUUGUCCACCUUCAAAUUCGGAACAAUACAUUUGAAAUUUAGUGUCUUUGAUUAACAAACUACCAACAGUGGAGACUUUCGAGUCAAAUACUAGUUUUGGUCCAUCAUGUAAACGGUUAAGGCUGUUUGUCCUCGGACGUUGUAUCAUCAACUUGAUAUUUCUACCCAUGGGUUCAAUAUGUAUCACAAUAUCAUAAAACUGAUGUGUCAAUGCAUUAUGUAAACGAACUUUGAUAUCUAACGAUAUUUUUAUUAUUUACAUUAUUUGUGAAUAAAAAUUACAUGUAA
Long non-coding RNA from Ruditapes philippinarum (Manila clam), 1485 nucleotides. RefSeq lists it as uncharacterized. NCBI's taxonomy places the organism in Eukaryota, Metazoa, Mollusca, Bivalvia, Venerida, Veneridae. The record is from RefSeq and is a predicted model, not a curated record. The transcript has 2 exons.